CAGAGGGGCUGCCCGGGCAUGAAUUGAGGGUCAUGUAAGGCCAAGGCGUCAGAAGUGGACGCCCAGGCCCGGGCGUCAAGGGCCACCGCCCGGGCAUUGCGUUUUACCUCCUUCUGGUGCCUUUUUAGCCUCUUCUAAGCUCCAUCUUCUUGGCUCUUCAUCUUUUCUUCCAGUAUUACCUCAAUCUCUGUCAAAACAACGAG
Molecule: long non-coding RNA, 203 nt
Filed under: Vigna radiata
Lineage: Eukaryota; Viridiplantae; Streptophyta; Magnoliopsida; Fabales; Fabaceae
Description: long non-coding RNA (VRAD_LNC006949)
Source: RNAcentral